RNAcentral lists this long non-coding RNA (459 nucleotides) under Nothobranchius furzeri (turquoise killifish). RNAcentral describes it as "lncRNA (ENSNFUG00015004142.1)". Lineage: Eukaryota; Metazoa; Chordata; Actinopteri; Cyprinodontiformes; Nothobranchiidae. The record is from RNAcentral.
CCAAUUUCCAAGGUGGACAUACAAUCACCCAGACACUCGCCCACGCACACACACACACACACACACACACACACACACACACACACACACACACACCACUCCUUGUUCUGCAGCUCUGGCUCAGUCAGUGAGUGUCUCUCUACCAGGAUGAACGUGUUUCUGUUUCUCUGGAUUGCCCUGGUGCCAUUGUUCUGCUAUGGAAGUGAGGACUAUGAUGAAUAUGACAAUGAUACAAGUGUAACACCAAUGCCAGACUAUGACUACAACAGCACCUUUGAGUAUUACUACGUGACUGAGGAUCACGUCACCGACACGGUGAGCAGUCCUUCUGUUUGUUUACCAGAACCAGGAGACCCUGUAUCUCUACUUCCUGUCAGAAACCAGCCAACAGGAGACGCUGCAGGAGACACGACUCAGCUUACUCCCUGCUGUCUCCUAACUUCUGGAUGUUUCUGUUGA